GAUGAAGAACGCAGCAAAAUGCGAUAAGUAAUGUGAAUUGCAGAAUUCAGUGAAUCAUCGAAUCUUUGAACGCACAUUGCGCCCGCUGGUAUUCCGGCGGGCAUGCCUGUUCGAGCGUCAUUUCAACCCUCAAGCCCCCGGGUUUGGUGUUGGGGAUCGGCUCUGCCCUUCUGGGCGGUGCCGCCCCCGAAAUACAUUGGCGGUCUCGCUGCAGCCUCCAUUGCGUAGUAGCUAACACCUCGCAACUGGAGCGCGGCGCGGCCAUGCCGUAAAACCCCAACUUCUGAAUGUUGACCUCGGAUCAGGUAGGAAUACCCGCUGAACUUAAGCAUAUCAAUAAGCGGAGGA
This 348-nucleotide unclassified non-coding RNA is filed under the name soil metagenome. Its description in RNAcentral is "partial contains 5.8S ribosomal RNA, internal transcribed spacer 2, and large subunit ribosomal RNA". The stretch from base 1 to 120 matches the Rfam family "5.8S ribosomal RNA", at positions 35 to 154 of the family's 154-position model. The record is from RNAcentral.